This 433-nucleotide ribosomal RNA is filed under the name uncultured bacterium. RNAcentral describes it as "partial 16S ribosomal RNA". It matches the Rfam family "Bacterial small subunit ribosomal RNA", at positions 29 to 507 of the family's 1533-position model. The record is from RNAcentral.
AACGAACGUUGGCGGCAGGCCUAACACAUGCAAGUCGAGCGAGGACUUCGGUCCUAGCGGCGGACGGGUGAGUAACGCGUGGGAACGUGCCCUUUGCUUCGGAAUAGCCCUGGGAAACUGGGAGUAAUACCGGAUGAGCCCUUUGGGGGAAAGAUUUAUCGGCGAAGGAUCGGCCCGCGUUGGAUUAGGUAGUUGGUGGGGUAAUGGCCUACCAAGCCGACGAUCCAUAGCUGGUUUGAGAGGAUGAUCAGCCACACUGGGACUGAGACACGGCCCAGACUCCUACGGGAGGCAGCAGUGGGGAAUCUUAGACAAUGGGGGAAACCCUGAUCGAGCCAUGCCGCGUGAGCGAUGAAGGCCUUAGGGUUGUAAAGCUCUUUCAGCUGGGAAGAUAAUGACGGUACCAGCAGAAGAAGCCCCGGCUAACUCCGUG